RNAcentral lists this long non-coding RNA (569 nucleotides) under Homo sapiens (human). Its description in RNAcentral is "non-protein coding lnc-SRPRA-9:1". The record is from RNAcentral. Lineage: Eukaryota; Metazoa; Chordata; Mammalia; Primates; Hominidae.
AGAAUUCUGAGGUCAUUCCUCAGUGUUCUAGCUGGAGGCUUCUAAAGCAUUAUGAGCUGUGUGGUCAAGUUCAAUACUAAGAACAUGGCCUUAGAAUGUAAAAAUGAAUGGCCACUUCCAGGUAUGGCUGAGAAGGGUGAAAAUGCAUGCACCCACAGACACACACACACACCGUGGAAAUGAGGAAAAGUUACUUCUCUCUGUUGUAAAUUUAAAUGCAGUCCAGAGUAGUGAAGGCCGUUUGUAAGGUCUGCUGAGCUAAUGGAUUCAUAAUGACUUUUAAAGCUUCACUCGGCUGCACUGGGGGAGAGCCUGCUGAAGCUGCUUGAAUCUCAACACUGUCAUACCCGCCAUCUCAUUAUCUACAGCCACAUCUAAAACCCACAUGAAAUACCAAGUCACACGCGGCUCUGGGAAAGACAUUUUACAGAGACCAUCUUAUGAGUUUUUAAUCUGCCUCCUGAGAACUUACAAUCUAAGAAAUAGAAAACUGAUUCCAGUAAGCAUGCCCAGAAUAUGCUAGCAGCAAGAUUAAAACAUGAAACUAUGAAUGUUAAGGUAUUUAUAAC